RNAcentral lists this ribosomal RNA (253 nucleotides) under uncultured bacterium. RNAcentral's name for it is "partial 16S ribosomal RNA". It matches the Rfam family "Bacterial small subunit ribosomal RNA", at positions 524 to 776 of the family's 1533-position model. The record is from RNAcentral.
UACGAAGGGGGCUAGCGUUGUUCGGAUUUACUGGGCGUAAAGCGCACGUAGGCGGAUCGUUAAGUCAGGGGCGAAAUCCUGGAGCUCAACUCCAGAACUGCCUUUGAUACUGGCGAUCUUGAGUCCGGAAGAGGUGAGUGGAACUCCUAGUGUAGAGGUGGAAUUCGUAGAUAUUAGGAAGAACACCAGUGGCGAAGGCGGCUCACUGGUCCGGUACUGACGCUGAGGUGCGAAAGCGUGGGGAGCAAACAGG